GCCAGGUGUGGUGGCGCGCACCUGUAGUCCCAGCUACUCAGGAGGCUGAGGUAUGAGAAUUGCUUGAACCCAGGAGGUAGAGGUUGCAGUGGGCCACGCCACUGCACUCCAGCCUGGGCAACAGAGCGAGACCCUGUCUCAA
Molecule: non-coding RNA, 142 nt
Filed under: Chlorocebus sabaeus (green monkey)
Lineage: Eukaryota; Metazoa; Chordata; Mammalia; Primates; Cercopithecidae
Source: Rfam by way of RNAcentral